RNAcentral lists this ribosomal RNA (422 nucleotides) under uncultured bacterium. RNAcentral describes it as "partial 16S ribosomal RNA". It matches the Rfam family "Bacterial small subunit ribosomal RNA", at positions 359 to 773 of the family's 1533-position model. The record is from RNAcentral.
GAAUUUUGGACAAUGGGCGAAAGCCUGAUCCAGCAAUGCCGCGUGCAGGAUGAAGGCCUUCGGGUUGUAAACUGCUUUUGUACGGAACGAAAAGCUUUUGGUUAAUACCCUGGAGUCAUGAAGGUACCGCAAGGAUCAGCAUCGGCUAACUACGUGCCAGACGCCGCGGUAAGUCGUAGGGUGCAAGCUUUAAUCGGAAUUACUGGGCGUAAAGCGUGCGCAGGCGGUUUUGUAAGACAGAGGUGAAAUCCCCGGGCUCAACCUGGGAACUGCCUUUGUGACUGCAAGGCUAGAGUACGGCAGAGGGGGGUGGAAUUCCGCGUGUAGCAGUGAAAUGCGUAGAUAUGCGGAGGAACACCGAUGGCGAAGGCAACCCCCUGGGCCUGUACUGACGCUCAUGCACGAAAGCGUGGGGAGCAAAC